GAUGAACGCUGGCGGCGUGCUUAACACAUGCAAGUCGAACGAACCUUCGGGUUAGUGGCGGACGGGUGAGUAACGCGUGAGAAUCUGCCCUCAGGAGGGGGAUAACGGCUGGAAACGGCCGCUAAUACCCCAUAUGCCGAGAGGUGAAAUGAAUUUCGCCUGAGGAUGAGCUCGCGUCUGAUUAGCUAGUUGGUGGGGUAAGAGCCUACCAAGGCUUCGAUCAGUAGCUGGUCUGAGAGGAUGAUCAGCCACACUGGGACUGAGACACGGCCCAGACUCCUACGGGAGGCAGCAGUGGGGAAUUUUCCGCAAUGGGCGAAAGCCUGACGGAGCAACGCCGCGUGAGGGAUGAAGGCCUCUGGGCUGUAAACCUCUUUUCUCAAGGAAGAAGAUCUGACGGUACU
RNAcentral lists this ribosomal RNA (404 nucleotides) under uncultured cyanobacterium. RNAcentral describes it as "bacterial SSU rRNA". It matches the Rfam family "Bacterial small subunit ribosomal RNA", at positions 28 to 479 of the family's 1533-position model. Lineage: Bacteria; Bacillati; Cyanobacteriota. The record is from RNAcentral.